This is a long non-coding RNA of Capsicum annuum, 897 nucleotides long. RefSeq lists it as uncharacterized. Lineage: Eukaryota; Viridiplantae; Streptophyta; Magnoliopsida; Solanales; Solanaceae. The record is from RefSeq and is a predicted model, not a curated record. The transcript has 3 exons.
AGCCCCUUUUGCUAAAAAUGAAUUCUCACCCUAUCAACAAAAUGCGUCCAGUCCACCAAUUAUUUGUUCCUCAAUGACCACGGGUACCAUUCCAAAGCAUUACCAUCAAAGUAGAAUGAUGCCAUGGUAAACUUUUGGUCAUCUAUAAUCUUGUUAAAAUGAAAUAACGCUCCACUUUAAACAGCGACGCCUCUAGAUUAUCUCCACAAAGUUGACCAAAUUCCAUUGAUGUUGGCUUGUGUUGGAGAGUGGUGGUCGGCAUUUGUUCCUGUCGAGCUAGAUCUGUUGUUGGAUAGAGCUGGUGAGUACCCAUAGGAGCUUUGUAGUAUAUCACAAAUCUCAAACAACUCCCUAGAAAAGGAUUCCUUCACCUCUUGAAUAGAAACAUGAAUUGAAUUGUCAAUCAAAUCCUUGAGUUGCCUUUGUCCUCUAAAUUAGAGACCUCUCAAUAAUGAAAACAUACACCAAUAUAACAAGCUAGAUACUUACCAAACUGAUUGAGAGGAGAAAUACAACAAAAAAAUAAAUGUGAUUGGAGAAACUCAAUACACAAUGCUAACCUACUUUUUUUAUGCCUACUGAUAGCUACUAAUAACAAACAUCUCUCUCUUUCAUAUGCAACCCACCUAUACUUUCCCAUCACAUUUUGCUACCAUGCUUCCCUACAAGAUCAACAAGUCUUUUAGAAGGUUGUUGAAGUGAGUUUGUUCAUAGGUAUAAAGAGGCCAUCACCAAUUUCAAGAAUUGCUCCUUUCGAGAAAUUUAUUUUAAUUUUAAUGUGAAUCUGUAUAUCUAUCUUCUCUCUUUUUUUAAUUUAUUUGCAUUAUGAUUUGAAGUGUUCUAUAUCUACAUUGAAGCUCGAUCGAAUUUGAAUUCACAUCAAAAAGUUUCAUAUUA